This 722-nucleotide ribosomal RNA is filed under the name uncultured bacterium. Its description in RNAcentral is "bacterial SSU rRNA". It matches the Rfam family "Bacterial small subunit ribosomal RNA", at positions 136 to 851 of the family's 1533-position model. The record is from RNAcentral.
CAGGGGGAUAACCGGGAGAAAUCCCGACUAAUACCGCGUAACGCCGCGGACCUGCAUGGGUCUGCGGCCAAAGGAAGCGAUUCCGGCGGGGGAUGGGCAUGCGGCGCAUUAGCUAGUCGGCGGGGUAACGGCCCACCGAGGCGACGAUGCGUAGGGGUUCUGAGAGGAAGGUCCCCCACACUGGUACUGAGACACGGACCAGACUCCUACGGGAGGCAGCAGUGAGGAAUAUUGGUCAAUGGGCGGGAGCCUGAACCAGCCAAGUCGCGUGAGGGAAGACGGUCCUACGGAUUGUAAACCUCUUUUGCCGGGGAGCAACGGGGUCCUUGCGAGGGCCCAAUGAGAGUACCCGGAGAAAAAGCAUCGGCUAACUCCGUGCCAGCAGCCGCGGUAAUACGGAGGAUGCGAGCGUUAUCCGGAUUUAUUGGGUUUAAAGGGUGCGUAGGCGGGCUGUUAAGUCAGCGGUCAAAUGUCGGGGCUCAACCCCGGCCUGCCGUUGAAACUGGCGGCCUCGAGUGGGCGAGAAGUAUGCGGAAUGCGUGGUGUAGCGGUGAAAUGCAUAGAUAUCACGCAGAACUCCGAUUGCGAAGGCAGCAUACCGGCGCCCGACUGACGCUGAGGCACGAAAGCGUGGGUAUCGAACAGGAUUAGAUACCCUGGUAGUCCACGCAGUAAACGAUGAAUACUAGCUGUCCGGGGCGAAUGAGCCCUGGGUGGCACAG